CCAUUAUUACCCGACGGUUUAUCUUCCCAAAAACCACUUUUUCACCCAAAACGCUCCCUUGUUUCCAUAAAUUCAUUUCAUCCAAAACACUCUUCUCCGAUGCUUUAAGAUCCCAGGGAGCAAAUCGAAACCUUCCUCAAAGAAACUUCAGUUCGGUUCUCUGAUCCAAUCAUCUUCCAGUACUUUUACUGCAUAUCUUGGCAUCGAACCCUCCAGGUAAAACUCUUCCCUUUUCUUUAGACUUUCAGUAGCUACACUGUCGGCCAGUUUAUUAAUUUUACGACAAACAUGGUAAAACUUAAGGAAUCUAAAGUUACACUAUAAAGCCUUUAUAUAUUGGAUAAUAGAGCAAAUUUCGGAAUUGUCACUAGAGUUAGAGAUACAUUUCUUAAUAGCUGAUAGUGAGUACCCUUCAAUAUGAAUUUUACGAUCCUUAAGAUUUAACCCCAUUUUAACUGCCUCUAAACAUGAAUGGGCUUUUGCUGCAAAAGCUGAACCAGCAUUCUCAUGGAUGAUUACUUUGGAGACGAUUACCUUGCCCAUUCCAUCUCUAACAACCACUCCCGAUCCUAAUCUGAAAAGUUCACUAUUAAAGCCGACAUCAAAAUAAAUUUUGAUAUCCUCUCCAGAAGAGGGAACCCAUACUUCUCUAGUCACCUCUUUGGUAAGUGCUUUUUCCUCCAAGCAGUCUAACUCUCUUACAUACCUAUGAAUAAAAAAAGCCAUAUCCUCACUUGAUUUAUUUAUUCGUUCAUGCAGACAUUUGUUUCUCUUAGUCCAUAAGGCCCAAAGGGAGACACAGAACACUCGUUGCUGGGAGUUUGAGCAGACACUAAAAGCCCAAGUAAGCCAUUCGAACCAUUCUUGUAUAUUGCUUGGCAUUAUCCACUGAAGGUCCAGUAAACUCCAAACGUCCUUUGCAACAGGGCAAUUAAGGAAGACAUGUAUCAUAUUUUUAGCUUCUUUCCCAUAUCGUGGACACUCUACAUUAGUCACCAGUCUCUUACAACGUAGAUUUAGCAUAGUAGGAAUAAUUUUUUUGAGAUGCGCCAUACUAUAAUUUUAACUUUAGAAGGAAGUUUCAAACUCCAUAGCUUUCGAUAGAAAUCUCUAGAAAUGAGUUGUGAUGUAUUUAAUUAGGAGUAGAAAAACCCAACUGUAAUAGUUUAUAGGCACUGCACACCGAGAACAUCCCCGAUGGCUCACCUCUCCAAGCCAUUCAUCUUCAUGAGGAACUUUUGCCAGUGGGAUUCGAAGGUUCCUUCCCGCAUCAACCGCAUCAAAGGUAUUGGUAAUAAUUUCCGCUCUCCAUUCUCUAAUAUUAUUAUCAAUGAGCUCAACAACAAACUCCAAAUUACAAUUAUCAACUGGAUGAUUUAACCUGUAAUUAUCAGAACCUUGAAUCCAGGCAUGAUUAAAAAUAGAAAUAUUAUCACCCUUCCCCACCCUCUAACUCGUGCCUUCCUGAAGCACUCUCCUCGUUGCCCAUAUACUUAUCCACGUGUAAGAAGCAUUGUGCUUUAAACAUGCCUGUAAAAGAUCUGAAUUGGGGCAAUAUUUAGCUUUUAAAACUUUCACUAAUAAUGAAUUGGAGUUAGUCAUAAGUCUCCAUCCCUACUUCGCUAAGAGAGCCACGUUAAAAUUUGCGAAGUUCUUAAAACCCAAACCACCAUACUCCUUUGAGUCACAUAGUUUUUCCCAUGUGCAUCAAUGCAAACCACAUUUUCCAUGAAAUUUUUGCCACCAAAACCUAGCUAUUAUUCCCUUCAUUUCUUCACAUAACGUUUUAGGUAGUAGAAAAUAAGCCAUAGUAUAAGUUGGGAUUGAUUGUAAAAUUGUUUUAAUGUAGACUUCUUUCCUGUAUUGUGAAAAGAAUCAUGUACUCCAAUUAUCAAAUUUUUUUCUUCAUUCCAUCCUUUAAGAUUUUAAAAGAGGCUAUUUUCUUUCUACAGACCAUAUUAGGAAGUCCCAAGUAGUUUUUGGGAUUAUUUGAAUGUCUCACUCCUAGCUCAUUAGAUAUUUUUGCUCGUAUAGUUUCAAGAGUGUUCCUAUUAAAGAAAACCGUUGACUUUUCAAAAUUCACGUAUUGUCCUGAACAAUUUUUGUAUUCUUUCAAGAUAUCUUUCAAGACGUUUGCACCUCUUGUUGUAGUUCCCUGUAAAGAAUGCAGUCAUUUGCAAAAAGUAAAUGAGAGGCCACUGGUCUAUUUUGACUUGCCUUAACCCCUUUUAAUUUCCUCUGGCUAUUAGCAAGACGCAUAAGAGUAGAUAAUCUCUUGCUGUAAAUCAAAAAUAGAGAAGGGCUUAGAGGAUCCCCUUGCCUUAGUCCUCUUAUAGGUCAAAAAGAAUUUCCUCUCAAACCAUUAAUGUUAACUGAAUAGGAAACUUUUGAUAUACAAUCAAGCACUAUAUCAACCCAAGCCUUUGCAAAACCUAUUUUAGUCAUCAUUGCUCGAAGAAAACCCCACUCCAUUCUAUCGUAAGUUUUAGUUGUGUCCAAUUUUAGGGCCAUCAGACCUUUACUUCCUUUACUUUUUUAUCCUAAAGUUUACCAUAAAGUUAAAUUGAAUUUAGAUAUGAUAAAAAAUCUAAUUAGACAAUUAGUUAAAUACAAAUAGUUUGACCUUAAAGUUAGUGGUUUUGGAGAAUGAGAAAUUGAGACCCUAUUUUUGUAAGGUGGAUUAUAUUAGAAGUGAGUUGAAUUUUGGUCAAGUAACUUUUGUUGAAUUAGUGUUUAAUUAAGGUAUAGGGACUAAAUCAAAAAAACAUUAAAAGUUGAAUCUUUAAGGAAUCUACAAAUAGAAAAUAGAGUGAGAGCCUUGUAUAGCAAAUAUGCCACUUUAUAAGUUGUAGUUGUCGAUUUCUAUUUAUGUUAGUAAUAAAUUUUGGUUUAAAUAAGUUAUAAAAUAAAAAAUUCUAAUUAAAUUAAUAAAGGUAAAAAAACAUGAAUUAAAUGUGAAAGUGGGAAGAAAGAGACAACCUCCUUGUAUUCAUUUUUUUUCAUUCGAAAGUGAAGAAGAAAAAUUGAGGGACGAAUCAUAAGUUUUUUUUAAAUUUUUAAAUUUUUAGAAUUUUGGGAACUCAAGCUAGUUGACCCAUGUCGUAUUUUUACGAUUAAAGUUUGAGGAUUUUACUAUUGUUGAAUAGUUAGAUUUUUAGGGAUUAAUUUGACAGAUUUUAAGUUGAGUAUUGAAAAAAAGACUAAAUUGUAAAGUUAAUUAUGAUUUUAUGAAAUAGGGAUUAAAUUGCACAAAUUUUUAAAUUUGGGGUAGAAAUGUAAAAUAGGAAGUUAAAAGUAGGCCUAGAAUGAAAUUGAUAUAAAAAUUGGUGAUUAAAUUUGAAAGUUAUGUUAGUCUUGAUUUUAGGGACUAAAUUCAAUAAAAUACAAAAGUUGUAUAAAAUAGCAAUUGAUUGUGAAAAUGGUUGUGUAUUGAUAAUUUUAUACGUUUAUAUUAAUCUAUAGCUAACGUUGACCCAGAUCCUUCAAAAAAGAAUAGAAAAGAUAAAGUUGUCGACAAAUAGCACAAGUUUACGGUCUGUAUUUUUAAAUCCAAACCUUUUCAAUUGUUGCAUUCACAAACUGCGCAGUAUGGUAAUAACAUAAGGUAAGCUAGAAAUGAGAGGACAAGAUAAAUUGAACUGAUUCAAAUUAGUUGUUUGUGAUAAGACUAAAUUGAAUAGAUUUGAAAAUAUGAUAUAUUGUUAUAAGUGUGCAAUUGAUUUCAAUUAGUGAUUAAUUAUGCUGUUUAAUGAUUGAUUGAUGAAAUUAUAUUGUAGAAUUGAGAAAUUGAGUAUAAAUGAAAUUAAAAUAAGGGUGGAUAGUGGAUAUCAAUUUAUAAGCUUGGAAUUAUGGAUUUGAUAUUUUAUGAUUUAAUCAAUUCGAUUAAGACAGAGAAAAAUCUAUCUUGCAACUAUGAUAACUCGAUUUAAGAUAUGUAAAUAUAUUGAAUUAGGUGAUAUAAUAGGAUUUGUAGAUUGACAUGUUAAAACGCAUUAUAGAAUUUAUAUUAUGUUUUAAUACCACUGUGUUAUACUUAGCGUACCACUUUAUUUCCCAUGCUCAAGUUAGGUACCUUACGAUUUGAUUGUCGACUCCGCAUCCAGUGGCAAAUCCCAAACUCAAACAUUGGUGAUCUGUUUAUUUUGGUAUUG
RNAcentral lists this long non-coding RNA (4151 nucleotides) under Gossypium barbadense (sea-island cotton). RNAcentral describes it as "long non-coding RNA (GBAR_LNC020000)". The record is from RNAcentral. Lineage: Eukaryota; Viridiplantae; Streptophyta; Magnoliopsida; Malvales; Malvaceae.